CAGCAGCCGCGGUAAUACCAGCAGCCCAAGUGGUGGUCGCGUUUAUUGGGCCUAAAGCGCUCGUAGCCUGGCCGGUAAGUUCCCCGUGAAAUCGGGUCGCCCAACGAUUCGGCUCGCGGGGAAUACUGUCGGUCUUGGGGCCGGGAGACGCCGAGGGUACUCCGGGGGUAGCGGUGAAAUGCUGUAAUCCUCGGGGGACUACCAGUGGCGAAGGCGCUCGGCGAUAACGGGCCUGACGGUGAGGGGCGAAAGCUGGGGGCGCGAACGGGAUUAGAUACCCCCGUAGUCCCUGUCUCUUAUU
Molecule: ribosomal RNA, 301 nt
Filed under: uncultured bacterium
Lineage: Bacteria
Description: partial 16S ribosomal RNA
Rfam family: Archaeal small subunit ribosomal RNA
Source: RNAcentral